Molecule: transfer RNA, 72 nt
Filed under: Vicugna pacos (alpaca)
Lineage: Eukaryota; Metazoa; Chordata; Mammalia; Artiodactyla; Camelidae
Description: tRNA-Ala (AGC) (tRNA-Ala-AGC-81-1)
Rfam family: tRNA
About the family: Transfer RNA (tRNA) molecules are approximately 80 nucleotides in length.
Source: Rfam by way of RNAcentral
GGGGGUAUAGCUCAGUGGUAGAGCACAUGCUUAGCAUGCAUGAGGUCCUGGGUUCAAUCUCCAGUACCUCCA